RNAcentral lists this ribosomal RNA (460 nucleotides) under uncultured bacterium. RNAcentral describes it as "bacterial SSU rRNA". It matches the Rfam family "Bacterial small subunit ribosomal RNA", at positions 30 to 479 of the family's 1533-position model. The record is from RNAcentral.
AUUGAACGCUGGCGGAAUGCUUUACACAUGCAAGUCGAACGGCAGCACGGGAGCUUGCUCCUGGUGGCGAGUGGCGAACGGGUGAGUAAUAUAUCGGAACGUACCCGUCGUGGGGGAUAACUCUCCGAAAGGAGUGCUAAUACCGCAUACGACCUGAGGGUGAAAGCGGGGGACCUGCAAGGGCCUCGCGCGAUGGGAGCGGCCGAUAUCGGAUUAGCUAGUUGGUGAGGUAAAGGCUCACCAAGGCGACGAUCCGUAGCGGGUCUGAGAGGACGACCCGCCACACUGGAACUGAGACACGGUCCAGACUCCUACGGGAGGCAGCAGUGGGGAAUUUUGGACAAUGGGGGAAACCCUGAUCCAGCCAUUCCGCGUGAGUGAAGAAGGCCUCGGUUGUAAAGACUCUUUCUAGCAGGAACGAAACGGUAAGGGCCUAAUACAGUCUGCUAAUGACGGUACC